This 393-nucleotide ribosomal RNA is filed under the name uncultured bacterium. RNAcentral describes it as "partial 16S ribosomal RNA". It matches the Rfam family "Bacterial small subunit ribosomal RNA", at positions 355 to 740 of the family's 1533-position model. The record is from RNAcentral.
UGGGGAAUAUUGCACAAUGGGCGCAAGCCUGAUGCAGCCAUGCCGCGUGUGUGAAGAAGGCCCUCGGGUUGUAAAGCACUUUCAGCGAGGAGGAAGGGUUCAGUGUUAAUAGCACUGUUCAUUGACGUUACUCGCAGAAGAAGCACCGGCUAACUCCGUGCCAGCAGCCGCGGUAAUACGGAGGGUGCAAGCGUUAAUCGGAAUUACUGGGCGUAAAGCGCACGCAGGCGGUUUGUUAAGUCAGAUGUGAAAUCCCCGCGCUUAACGUGGGAACUGCAUUUGAAACUGGCAAGCUAGAGUCUUGUAGAGGGGGGUAGAAUUCCAGGUGUAGCGGUGAAAUGCGUAGAGAUCUGGAGGAAUACCGGUGGCGAAGGCGGCCCCCUGGACAAAGAC